This 254-nucleotide ribosomal RNA is filed under the name uncultured bacterium. RNAcentral describes it as "partial 16S ribosomal RNA". It matches the Rfam family "Bacterial small subunit ribosomal RNA", at positions 524 to 776 of the family's 1533-position model. The record is from RNAcentral.
UACGUAGGGUGCGAGCGUUGUCCGGAAUUAUUGGGCGUAAAGAGCUCGUAGGCGGUGUGUCACGUCGGCCGUGAAAACCUGCAGCUUAACUGUGGGCGUGCGGUCGAUACGGGCAUCACUGGAGUUCGGCAGGGGAGACUGGAAUUCCUGGUGUAGCGGUGAAAUGCGUAGAUAUCUGGAGGAAUACCGGUGGCGAAGGCGGCAUCCUGGACCGACAUUGACGCUGAAGGGCGAAAGCUAGGGGAGCAAACGGG